AGAGUUUGAUCCUGGCUCAGGACGAACGCUGGCGGCGUGCCUAAUACAUGCAAGUAGAACGCUGAAGAGAGGAGCUUGCUCUUCUUGGAUGAGUUGCGAACGGGUGAGUAACGCGUAGGUAACCUGCCUUGUAGCGGGGGAUAACUAUUGGAAACGAUAGCUAAUACCACAUAACAAUGGAUGACACAUGUCAUUUAUUUGAAAGGGGCAAUUGCUCCACUACAAGAUGGACCUGCGUUGUAUUAGCUAGUAGGUGAGGUAAUGGCUCACCUAGGCGACGAUACAUAGCCGACCUGAGAGGGUGAUCGGCCACACUGGGACUGAGACACGGCCCAGACUCCUACGGGAGGCAGCAGUAGGGAAUCUUCGGCAAUGGGGGCAACCCUGACCGAGCAACGCCGCGUGAGUGAAGAAGGUUUUCGGAUCGUAAAGCUCUGUUGUAAGUCAAGAACGGGUGUGAGAGUGGAAAGUUCACACUGUGACGGUAGCUUACCAGAAAGGGACGGCUAACUACGUGCCAGCAGCCGCGGUAAUACGUAGGUCCCGAGCGUUGUCCGGAUUUAUUGGGCGUAAAGCGAGCGCAGGCGGUUUGAUAAGUCUGAAGUUAAAGGCUGUGGCUCAACCAUAGUUCGCUUUGGAAACUGUCAAACUUGAGUGCAGAAGGGGAGAGUGGAAUUCCAUGUGUAGCGGUGAAAUGCGUAGAUAUAUGGAGGAACACCGGUGGCGAAAGCGGCUCUCUGGUCUGUAACUGACGCUGAGGCUCGAAAGCGUGGGGAGCGAACAGGAUUAGAUACCCUGGUAGUCCACGCCGUAAACGAUGAGUGCUAGGUGUUGGAUCCUUUCCGGGAUUCAGUGCCGCAGCUAACGCAUUAAGCACUCCGCCUGGGGAGUACGACCGCAAGGUUGAAACUCAAAGGAAUUGACGGGGGCCCGCACAAGCGGUGGAGCAUGUGGUUUAAUUCGAAGCAACGCGAAGAACCUUACCAGGUCUUGACAUCCCGAUGCUAUUUCUAGAGAUAGAAAGUUACUUCGGUACAUCGGUGACAGGUGGUGCAUGGUUGUCGUCAGCUCGUGUCGUGAGAUGUUGGGUUAAGUCCCGCAACGAGCGCAACCCCUAUUGUUAGUUGCCAUCAUUCAGUUGGGCACUCUAGCGAGACUGCCGGUAAUAAACCGGAGGAAGGUGGGGAUGACGUCAAAUCAUCAUGCCCCUUAUGACCUGGGCUACACACGUGCUACAAUGGUUGGUACAACGAGUUGCGAGUCGGUGACGGCGAGCUAAUCUCUUAAAGCCAAUCUCAGUUCGGAUUGUAGGCUGCAACUCGCCUACAUGAAGUCGGAAUCGCUAGUAAUCGCGGAUCAGCACGCCGCGGUGAAUACGUUCCCGGGCCUUGUACACACCGCCCGUCACACCACGAGAGUUUGUAACACCCGAAGUCGGUGAGGUAACCUUUUGGAGCCAGCCGCCUAAGGUGGGACAGAUGAUUGGGGUGAAGUCGUAACAAGGUA
RNAcentral lists this ribosomal RNA (1506 nucleotides) under metagenome. RNAcentral's name for it is "bacterial SSU rRNA". It matches the Rfam family "Bacterial small subunit ribosomal RNA". The record is from RNAcentral.